Long non-coding RNA from Ictalurus furcatus (blue catfish), 1105 nucleotides. RefSeq lists it as uncharacterized. NCBI's taxonomy places the organism in Eukaryota, Metazoa, Chordata, Actinopteri, Siluriformes, Ictaluridae. The record is from RefSeq and is a predicted model, not a curated record. The transcript is spliced from 3 exons.
UUCAUGGAUCUUCAUCAUGGAUGACAUGAUGUGAGCAGCAGCUGUUCUGUCAAUAACACAAUCUUAAACCUGAUCAAGAAAACCUAGAGUACAUUUUCAUUUUUGUUUCUAAACUUGACUUUAAAUGCCCAAAUCAUAGAAACAGUCAGGAGACCUCCAGUAACAUUUACUAAUUUGUAAAGUGUUUUAUUGUUUAUUGGUCUAUUGUAAAUUGUAACUUUAUUCAUUCCAUAUAUUAUAUUCUACAUGUUCUUGCAAUAUUUACAGAUGAAAAUAAACCUUUUUUUUUUUCUUGGGCACACAAUUUCCCCAGUGUUUAGUGUUCAAAAACACGCAUAUUCCCAAGCAAGCUUAGGUUUAGUUCUUUAUGGGUUAGACAAUACAUCAUGGAAAGAGGGAUGUGCUCAUGCAAACAUCACAUGAAUGUAUGUGUGUGUGCAUUUCCUGCUUUUUGUUAUUCGUUUUGUUUCUCUUGCUUUGUAUGGAAGAGAUAAAAGCCUCCUUUUCUUUUUCUUGCCAUAAUCACCACAUUUUGCGGCAAGUUGUCUGACUUGAGAACUGAGAUCAAGGGAUCAAGGAGCAUCAAAAACAAGUUACUUGUCUGGUGUUUAAGCUAUGAGAAUUGGAGAAAGGUGGACUUCUGACUUGCUCAUGAAGGCAGUUUGCAUCUACACAAAGAUGCGGUACUAAGUCCUGAGGACUUUUCCAUCCCUUCAAAUGAGGUGUGUGUCUAAUUUUUAACCAUGACAGUUUUAAUUGUCAUUUGAGCUAAUUAAACCUCUGAAAGCUCCACGAGCAUCGAUGGGCCGUUGCAUGCAAAACUAUACAAUGAGAGUCCACAUUGAAAGGAAGAUUCUUCCCCUUUUCAUUCAUGAAAUAUUAUUAGCCUAUUAGCUAGCUACAUUUCCCAUACUGCACUGCAGUCUACAAACAUGGCCUCCAUGGAUCGCAAUUCCCAGAACACUCACAUUCAUUCUAAUCAUGCAAACCUGCAUCCAAUCUCACACACAAUCACACCACGCAUAAAAGAGACUGUUUGAACGCUAAAUAUUUGCGAAGUAUUACAUAAGAUUCCAUAUACCAAGCGUUUGUUUCUCGAUUCGUU